This 800-nucleotide ribosomal RNA is filed under the name uncultured cyanobacterium. Its description in RNAcentral is "bacterial SSU rRNA". It matches the Rfam family "Bacterial small subunit ribosomal RNA", at positions 80 to 913 of the family's 1533-position model. Lineage: Bacteria; Bacillati; Cyanobacteriota. The record is from RNAcentral.
AGAACCUUCGGGUUAGUGGCGGACGGGUGAGUAACGCGUGAGAAUCUGCCCUCAGGAGGGGGAUAACGGCUGGAAACGGCCGCUAAUACCCCAUAUGCCGAGAGGUGAAAUGAAUUUCGCCUGAGGAUAAGCUCGCGUCUGAUUAGCUAGUUGGUGUGGUAAAGGCUCACCAAGGCAUCGAUCAGUAGCUGGUCUGAGAGGAUGAUCAGCCACACUGGGACUGAGACACGGCCCAGACUCCUACGGGAGGCAGCAGUGGGGAAUUUUCCGCAAUGGGCGCAAGCCUGACGGAGCAACGCCGCGUGAGGGAUGAAGGCCUCUGGGCUGUAAACCUCUUUUAUCAAGGAAGAAGAUCUGACGGUACUUGAUGAAUAAGCCACGGCUAAUUCCGUGCCAGCAGCCGCGGUAAUACGGGAGUGGCAAGCGUUAUCCGGAAUUAUUGGGCGUAAAGCGUCCGCAGGCGGUUUUACAAGUCUGUCGUUAAAACGUGGAGCUCAACUCCAUUUCGGCGAUGGAAACUGUAAGACUAAAGUGUGGUAGGGGCAGAGGGAAUUCCCGGUGUAGCGGUGAAAUGCGUAAAUAUCGGGAAGAACACCAGUGGCGAAGGCGCUCUGCUGGGGCAUAACUGACGCUCAUGGACGAAAGCCAGGGGAGCGAAAGGGAUUAAAUACCCCUGUAGUCCUGGCCCGUAACGAUGAACACUAUGUGUGGGGGGAAUCGACCCCCUCGGUGUCGUAACCAACGCGUUAAGUGUUCCCCCCGGGGAGUACCCCCGCCAGUGUUGAACUCAAAGAAAUUGA